This 466-nucleotide ribosomal RNA is filed under the name uncultured bacterium. RNAcentral's name for it is "partial 16S ribosomal RNA". It matches the Rfam family "Bacterial small subunit ribosomal RNA", at positions 28 to 507 of the family's 1533-position model. The record is from RNAcentral.
GAUGAACGCUGGCGGCGUGCUUAACACAUGCAAGUCGAACGGAAAGGCUCCUGUUUGCAGGGGUACUCGAGUGGCGAACGGGUGAGUAACACGUGGGUGAUCUGCCCUGCACUUCGGGAUAUGCCUGGGAAACUGGGUCUAAUACCGGAUAGGACGUUGGUCUGGAUGCCAUUGUGGAAAGUUUUUCCGGUGUGGGAUGAGCUCGCGGCCUAUCAGCUUGUUGGUGGGGUAAGGGCCUAGCAAGGCGUCGACGGGUAGCCGGCCUGAGAGGAUGUACGGCAACAUUGGAACUGGAAUACGGCACAGACUCCUACGGGAGGCAGCGGUGGGGAAGAGUGCACAAUGGGAGGAAGCCUGAUGCAGCGACGCCGCGUGGGGGAAAACGGGCUUCGGGUUGGAAUCUCCUUUCGCAAGAGAAGAAGCGAAAGUGACGGUACCUGGAGAAGAAGCACCGGCUAACUACGUG